RNAcentral lists this ribosomal RNA (803 nucleotides) under Streptomyces sp. RNAcentral's name for it is "bacterial SSU rRNA". It matches the Rfam family "Bacterial small subunit ribosomal RNA", at positions 67 to 884 of the family's 1533-position model. Lineage: Bacteria; Bacillati; Actinomycetota; Actinomycetes; Kitasatosporales; Streptomycetaceae. The record is from RNAcentral.
CGAUGAACCACUUCGGUGGGGAUUAGUGGCGAACGGGUGAGUAACACGUGGGCAAUCUGCCCUGCACUCUGGGACAAGCCCUGGAAACGGGGUCUAAUACCGGAUACUGACCACUACAGGCAUCUGUGGUGUUCGAAAGCUCCGGCGGUGCAGGAUGAGCCCGCGGCCUAUCAGCUUGUUGGUGAGGUAAUGGCUCACCAAGGCGACGACGGGUAGCCGGCCUGAGAGGGCGACCGGCCACACUGGGACUGAGACACGGCCCAGACUCCUACGGGAGGCAGCAGUGGGGAAUAUUGCACAAUGGGCGAAAGCCUGAUGCAGCGACGCCGCGUGAGGGAUGACGGCCUUCGGGUUGUAAACCUCUUUCAGCAGGGAAGAAGCGAAAGUGACGGUACCUGCAGAAGAAGCGCCGGCUAACUACGUGCCAGCAGCCGCGGUAAUACGUAGGGCGCGAGCGUUGUCCGGAAUUAUUGGGCGUAAAGAGCUCGUAGGCGGCUUGUCGCGUCGGUUGUGAAAGCCCGGGGCUUAACCCCGGGUCUGCAGUCGAUACGGGCAGGCUAGAGUUCGGUAGGGGAGAUCGGAAUUCCUGGUGUAGCGGUGAAAUGCGCAGAUAUCAGGAGGAACACCGGUGGCGAAGGCGGAUCUCUGGGCCGAUACUGACGCUGAGGAGCGAAAGCGUGGGGAGCGAACAGGAUUAGAUACCCUGGUAGUCCACGCCGUAAACGGUGGGCACUAGGUGUGGGCAACAUUCCACGUUGUCCGUGCCGCAGCUAACGCAUUAAGUGCCCCGCCUGGGGAGUACG